GUGAAUUUUAGGGCGUCUCACUACGAAAGUAGCUUGAGGGCCUGACCUCCACUCUCUAACACUUGUGCACUCAAAAAAUUAGUGUAUUGAAAGGGUUUCCCUUACGGGAAGCUUGAUUAUUUCACUUUUUUCAUUAUUACAAUACUCCAACAGUUAAAGAAUGAAACCAAAACCAUAACAAAAU
Molecule: unclassified non-coding RNA, 184 nt
Filed under: Slooffia pilatii
Lineage: Eukaryota; Fungi; Basidiomycota; Microbotryomycetes; Chrysozymaceae
Description: Slooffia pilati ITS 1
Source: RNAcentral